AAUUAUUAUACAGUUUUGUAUAUCCAGAUGCUUAAUAUUUUUACUUAUAUUCUGUAGAUAGUUUGUUCUUUGCAUAGAAGAGAAUAUAGGUGAGCUGGUGCAUCCGCAUUGUGCUUUUUUACUUCCUUUCUUCCUUUCAUCUUGUAUCACUGGGGAUAGGCAGAGGAUAAGGACUAAAAAUUGGAGACAGCCAUAUCCUGAGUCACUGUCUUAACUUGUUUAAACAAUUGACUAGAGUCUCACUCAUUCUCCAACCGGAUCUACAACACAUUUCACUGAUGAGGGCUAUGAUGAUGAUGAGGAUGAAGAUGACACUGAAGACUAUAGCUGAUAGUUUUAAUAUGGUUAAACAAUAUACUAAGAAUUAUAGUUGAUGAUCAAUACAUUUUGUUUAUGUUUUGAAUUAUAUUGACUUGCUUGUUUAUAAUAUUUUUCUUUUAGUUUGAUAA
Arachis ipaensis is the source of this 449-nucleotide non-coding RNA. The record is from RefSeq and is a predicted model, not a curated record. NCBI's taxonomy places the organism in Eukaryota, Viridiplantae, Streptophyta, Magnoliopsida, Fabales, Fabaceae.